Molecule: long non-coding RNA, 1042 nt
Filed under: Triticum aestivum (bread wheat)
Lineage: Eukaryota; Viridiplantae; Streptophyta; Magnoliopsida; Poales; Poaceae
Description: long non-coding RNA (TAES_LNC026617)
Source: RNAcentral
AGCUGUGGUGAAAAAAUUAUUGCAGUUGAGUUGGUUAAUUAUCGUACUUAAAUCUCGCCUCCAUGCACGGAAUUUUAAUGGGGUUAGUAUGCUUUGUACUGACCCAAGAACAAUUCCUUAUGAUGCUCACCAUUUGUGCAUUUCUUUUGGUCUAGGACAAAGGGUAUGUGGAAGACUGGAUUUGAUAUUAUCAUGGAAUGAUAGCUAUUAGCGUGUUCCUGGCUCUCGUUUGCUGUUAUUCCUUCAUAAUUGCAACAAAGUGAGUAUUGUAGGCUCAGAGAGAAAUCUUCUGAAUUUUGUAGCCCGCAUCUUUAUUUUCUUCCUCAACAAUUCAUGAUGUACCAUGUAGUAAUUUUGAUUUUUCAUUCGGAUGUUAUUUUCUUUACAAAUCCGCAAGCAACACACAAUUCAUGUUUGUUGUUUUAGUCUUGCUAAUUCUUGACACGUUCCCAUGUUUGUUUUGUGAGAGAGCUUUUGAUGUCGUAUCUAUGCUCAUUCUUAAAAGAUACUUGUUUGGUUGAUUGCAUUAUGAAGAAAGUAGACCAUUUUAGACCGAAGAUAUGGAUUUAUGACAACUUCGAGAUGAGUUUGGCUGAUGAUGAAACUUUCAAAUUAAUGACAUUUUGAUUUAGCACGUGGUUAGGUUAUGCUCUUAGGAAAUAAAUGUUCUUCUGUAAUUUUAGUUUCAAGUACUUUUGAUUGAUAAUAUGGAGGAUAUGUAUUUAUGGUAAUGUUUUCUAUUGGUAUUAUUUAGGGAUGCAAAUCAAUAUCUUGCUCUGGCUAUGCUGUGCAGUGGCCUAAGCGUUGGACCACCGGGUGGAUAGGGCAAGCGUGUGAUGUGCCAGGGCGUAAUCUGUGUCGCUGCUCCGCAUAGAGGAGCACACCAUCGAGAUGGCCCAAAAUGGAAACACCGUAGGCCACAACUCUGGUGGGGGCCUCCAUGGUUGCUGACGACCAGAUGCCACCAUGGUCUCCGACGUCGUCAUGGCCCUUGCCGCCAGCCCACAACACAGUGCCGAGCAGGGGGGUGUGGCCGGCGGUG